UCCUUGUUAGCUCAGUUGGUAGAGCGCUUCACUGGAAAUAAAGAGGUCCAUGGUUAGAUACCAGGACUAGGCG
This 73-nucleotide transfer RNA is filed under the name Ixodes scapularis (black-legged tick). It matches the Rfam family "tRNA". Rfam says of the family: Transfer RNA (tRNA) molecules are approximately 80 nucleotides in length. Their secondary structure includes four short double-helical elements and three loops (D, anti-codon, and T loops). Further hydrogen bonds mediate the characteristic L-shaped molecular structure. tRNAs have two regions of fundamental functional importance: the anti-codon, which is responsible for specific mRNA codon recognition, and the 3' end, to which the tRNAs corresponding amino acid is attached (by aminoacyl-tRNA synthetases). tRNAs cope with the degeneracy of the genetic code in two manners: having more than one tRNA (with a specific anti-codon) for a particular amino acid; and 'wobble' base-pairing, i.e. permitting non-standard base-pairing at the 3rd anti-codon position. The record is from Rfam by way of RNAcentral. Lineage: Eukaryota; Metazoa; Arthropoda; Arachnida; Ixodida; Ixodidae.